Molecule: long non-coding RNA, 4689 nt
Organism: Musa acuminata AAA Group (dessert banana)
Lineage: Eukaryota; Viridiplantae; Streptophyta; Magnoliopsida; Zingiberales; Musaceae
Exons: 2
Source: RefSeq, a predicted model, not a curated record
UCGCGCACUCUCCUCUCGGCUCUCCUUUUGCUCUCUUGGCGAUCUCGUCUUUCUGCGAAGGUCGGAGCUGCUCUCCGACGAAAGGACAAAGCUUCGAACGAUCGUCGGCUGGGAGUGAGCGUCCUCUCCUCCGAUUUAGGGGAGAAUUUAGAUUCUUGUCGUGGUGAUCUCAUUCCUUUACCUUUGCUUGAGGUUUCGUUUCGCUUCGCUCUCGAAAUUUUUUAGGGUUCAAGAUAUUGUUGAAUUUUGAUGAUUUGGCGUCGUUUUGAUUGAUAUACUUGACAAUUUCGGUGACCAAAAAUCAGAAAAUUUGUUGUUCUCGGGGUUCUCUUUGAUCAAUUCUUCGUUAUCGAUCGUCUGGGUUUUCAAGUUUCUUUUGGGAAGUUCGAUCUUUCUGGUUUUCUUGAUCGUCUCUCGUCACCUCGGCGUUUCUCGUUCUGGUUUCGAUUCGCAAGAUGGCUUCUUCUCGUUCCAGGCGUGUGGAGUACGACCGCUUCAUCCCGUUCCGAUCGGCGAUGGACAUGGACUUCGCGCGCUGUGCUCUAACCAUGCCUUCCAGACCGCAGCGUGAUGGUUCGAUAGAAUCCCCAUCGAGUGUGGCGUACCAAAAACUUCUUGUUCAAUGUAUUUUGAAGAACAGAUCUCGCAUCUUCGCAUUCAAGAGUGCACCCGAAUCACCGGCCGACAAGGUGUCCCAAUUUGACGAGGACAAUCGACCGCACAAGAAGCAACAGAGGCGAAUCCCAAAAGAUGCAGAUAGGGUUUUGGCUGCUUAUGAUAUCUUAGAUGAUGAUAGGUUGAAUCUACUCGACUGGGGAAGCAAUAACGUGUUGGCGAUUGGCCUCAAUGACAAAGUGUGCCUACGGAAUGCUGCGAAUAAGUCUAGUACGGAGUUUUCACGAGCCCUAGAAGACAACAGCCCUGUCACUAGCAUCAGCUGGUCCCCAGACGGCAAAGUUCUAGCUGUGGCAUUAGGCAAUUCAGAUUUAGAUCUGGUUGAUGCAGCAACAAGACGUGUGUUGGUUGGGAUCCAACGUGACAGCCACUCCUUUGUUUGUUCACUUGCGUGGAGAAGUAAUGCAAUCUUGACGAUCGGGAGAUCCGAUGGUAGUAUUAUUGAUUAUGACAUUAGAAAAGAUGAUCGGGCCAUCUGUGACUAUAGAGGGCAUCGACUAGAAGUUUGUAGUCUUAAAUGAUUCAAGUUGUUUGGGCAGUAUCUGGCAAGCGGAGGGAAGGACAAACUUGUGCACAUAUGGGACACCCGCAUGGCUAUUGCAAAUCACCAUCCGCGCCAACAUCAAUUGCUUCACAAGAUCAGCAACCACACUUCCACUGUGAGGGCCCUUGAUUGGUGCCCUACCAGGAGCAAUCUGCUGGCUUCUGGUGGAGGACGCAAUGAUCAUUGCAUUAAGUUUUGGAAUGCUGUUAAUGGUGUUUGCUUGAACUCGAUUGAUACCGGCUCUGAAGUUUGUGCAUUGUUGUGGGACAAGAACAAAUCUGAAUUGCUGACCUCCCAUGGGUUUCCAAACAAUCAACUCACCCUGUGGAAUUACAUAUCCAUGACGAGAAAAGCUGAGCUUUUUGGUCAUUCAUCUCGUGUUCUUUACUUGGCUGGGAACCCAUUGGGAGGUGUAGUAGCUUCUGCAGCAAAAGAUAAGACACUCAAGUUCUGGAAUGUCUUUGAGACUCCCAAACCACCAAAACCUGAAGCAAACACUGUGCCCUUUGCCCAAUUUAAUGUCAUAAGAUGAAAAUGCUGAUGGUUGGAAAAGACUACGAGAGUAAUACGGAAAACUUUUUUAGUGCUUGACAAGAAGAUCCAUUGUUGAUAGCGUUGCAUAGAGCAGUUUGUGGCAUCAAAGAGGCAACAUAUUUUCAUACAAGUAUUAUACAUUUAAGAUCUUCAGAUACGAGUGCAAGCGCCUAAGUUAAGAUUUUUCUUGCUGAUUAGCUGUUGCAUUGUAGCAGACUAGUAGCAAUCUUCAUGAGAUUGUUAGAGAAGCUUGCUAAGUUUCAUACAAAUGCUCACCAACUAAUGACAUGGCUAGUAUUUUGAAUUAUGCUGUUGCAGUCAUCUAUCACGAGUUUCAGCAUCCACGUGCUGUAGUUUGAAUCUGCUACUUGUGAGUAUAAAACUGACUUCUGAAUUGGUAUUUCUUCAUGCCACCUUCCCUGUUUAUUUAAGGAGAAUAAGCUAUCAGCAGCUGUUGUGAUUAUUGAUUUUAAUUCCUAAUAUCAUAUAUGUAAAAGGUUUAAAUUGACAUGAUAAUUCCAGUUGAAACAUUUAAGUGAUUGUUUUUUUGAGUCAUUUAAUUGACAUGCUUAUUUUGGCCCAAUUGUGUGGCUUUGACCAUUCUAGUUAGUUUAGCUUGAAGAUUUUAACCUAACAAAGCUAAUCUCAGAUCUGAAAUCAAAAGUGGCAUCAGGUCCAGUAUUUCCUGUUUGAUUGAGCUCAAAUUGGAGCAUUAGUAAACUCCACAGUUCUUCCUAUCUGUCAUGUCCAUCCUUGUCUAGCUUUAUUGAUUAGGAAUUUUGCUACAUAGUUACUUAAUGCUAACCAGAUUUAGUUUUUCUUUCAUAUCAAAUUUUGUGUUGUUCAUGAGUUGAUAUGCAACAUGAUGUGUACUUCUUUUUGUCAACUUGGUAAUCAUAUCAGUGCAGGCCCCAUUUGUUUUCAGUUUUAUACAAUAGAUUUGCCUAACAUCUUUUGAUUACAAUCACCGUGAUGAUUAAGUUUCACAAAUCAAGCAUUUGUUAACUGUUUUAGAUUUGUGAUGCUUUAGAUUUUCCUAACAUCGCAGAUAAUUUCACUUGCAACAACUUUCUUAUAGACCGCCAUUUGUGAUACUUUAGUCAUAUGUUGAGGCUUAUCUUUCUUUUAUUUUAUGAUCAAGGCACAUUCUUUUUUUUGUACAUUCAGGGAGAAAGAGACCCGGAGCAUUGAUGCUUCACUUAUUAGAAUUUGAUAAUCAGGUUUGAGUAUCUUUUUUUGUUGAAGCUAUUAUAUUAGCCCUUUACUAGAGAAUAUCUCUAGUGGUUUCUCAAAUUUGAUUAUUGAAAAGUCUAGUUUUUUACUUGCUCUUCUGGCUUGCCUCUUAACAUUCUGAAAUCUUGCUUGUGAAUUAUUGACAAUUACCAAGGUCUGUCGUACCGAAGUGUACCGCCCCGUACCGGGCGGUACGUACCGGUCCGAUAGGUUAUCGGUACGCGGACUGUCCGGUACCGCUACAGUGCUACAGUACUAUAGUGUAGCACUACUACAGUGCUACAGUAAUACACUAUAGCACUGCUAUAGUAUGAAAAAAAUAAAAAAAUAUUCGAUGCACCAGGGCGUACCGCUCGGUACACCCUGAUGUACCACUCGGUAAACCGGUACUGUACCAUACCGAGCCCGGGUCGAAACGCCGGUAUAGUACGGUACAGCGAACCUUGACAAUUACUAUAUAGGAAUUGUGACUUCUGUCAGUCUUUCUGUUAAGAAAGAAAAAAGAGACAUUAUCUCACUCUUGAAUUGCAUCCUAGAUAUUCUUUUAUCACAUAUCAUUCAUGAAUAAUAUUUUUAGACACAUUUCAAUUUCUUUAGCCUUUGGUUUUUCUCUUUUAUUUGUGUGUUUUUCACUUUGCACUUUUCUGACAAAAUAUAUUUCAAACUGAUAUUUAGAUCAUUUUGUCAUCAUUUUAAAACUAAAGAAUUUUCAUAUUAAGAAUAUAGGUUUGUCUAGAGGAAGCCUACCUUGUUGGAGUUGAAUGUAAAGGCACUGAAUAUAUAAUUCAUUUGCUGUUGAUGAAUCACUUGAAGAAUUUGCACAAUUAGCUCAUGCUGUUACACUUAUCGAAAGUAUGUUUCUAUUUCCCCUAUUGAACAUGAUGCAGCUAAUAGUUCUAUGGUUGCUCUAAGUAUGCAUUUCUAGAGGUCUAGAAUCUAGUGGUAUAUUAUUGCUUUGGCUGUCAUUGAAUGAUAAAAUUCAGAACAUAUAUCUUUCUAUCAUUAGUAAACUCUACAGUUCUUCCUAUGUAUCAUGUCCAUCCUUGUCUAGCUUUAUUGAAUAGGAAUUUUGCUACAUAGUUUUAUUUGAUGCUAACCAGAUUCAGUUUUUCUUUCAUAUCAAAUUUGUGUUGCUCAUGAGUUGAUAUGCAAUGUGAUGUACAUCUUUAUGUCAACUUAGUAAUCAUAUCAGUGCAGGCCUCACUUGUUUUCAGUUUUGUACAAUAGAUUUUCCUAACAUCUUUUGAUUAUAAUCACCAUGAUGAUUAAGUUAGCAAAUUGCAUCAUGGUUCGUGCUACGCAGAUAAUUUCACCUGCAGCAACUUUCUUAUAGACUGCCAUUUGUGAUGCUUUACUCAUAUUUUUGAGGUUUAUCUUUCUUUUAUUUUAUGAUCAAGGCACAUUCUUUAUUUGUUCAUUCAGGGACAAAAAUACCCAGAGCAAAGAUGCUUCAUUUAUAGAAUUUGAGAAUCAGGUUUGAGUAUCUUUUUUUGUUGAAGCUAUUAUAUUACCUUGACUAGAGAAUAUCUCUAGUGGUUUCUCAAAUUUGAUUAUUGAAAAGUCAUUAGUAUUUUACUUGCUCUUCUGGCUUGCCUCUUAUUAACAUUCUGUAAUCUUGCUUGCGAAUUAUUGACAAUUACUAUACAGGAAUUGUGACUUCUAUUAGUCUUUCUGUUAAGAAAGAAAAAAGAGACAUUAUCUCA